UUGGUCUUGUCUGCCGGUAAAUGUUUUAUGCUAACGACGGUUCCAACCGCCGGUAUCUGUUUUUUAAAUCCAAAAUCCUCAACACGCACGAAGAGAAUUGCAGUUCCCUCUAUUCCAAUCUUUCACCAAGACCCUCAUACCUCUCUCUGUGUCGCUCACAAACCGUCUGUUUUCCGUCCUCUCCACCAUGGUCCUCUCUACCAUGUCGUCUUCUCCAUCUUCAUCCUCUCUCAUCAUAACGACACAACCUUCUUCUACAAAACCCUAAAUGUUAGGUUAGGUUCACCCCCAUCGACCUAAGCCACCAUGGCACCUGUGGUUCGAGACCCUCUCCUCACCGUCGACCCAUCAGUAGCCACGACGCCAUCGAGCUACCAAACUCAGCCACGACAAAACCUACAACCAAUUCGAACUCGAUUCUCCUCCCUCGGCUAAGCUUCAUCUCCGUUUCGUUUCUCGACGCACAUCGCCACGCUCUGUCUCGCAUCAUCUCCAUGGGUUUCGUGAUUCCAAUCACAAGAUGUUGCAGAACCCUCUUGCGUCAUCUCUCUUUGCCCCUUCCAACAACGCCGAUUCUGCAAAAAGCUCUUCGCUGACCACGCAUUGAUUGAUUUUCUCCUUCUUUGUUUUUGGUGGUGGCUGUUCUGGUAUGGAAACGUAUAAUGUUCCUGAAACUAGAAACUCGGAUGCUUUCUUGGUUGAAGCUGCUGAUAUAAACUCGCACUUCCCAAGCUCAAAUCUUGAACAAACUGAAGUUGAGUAAUUAUUAUAAAUAUUUGUAUUAAGCUCUUCCUUUAAUAUAGCUCUGUUUUUGGCAAAUAGUAAUUUUCACAAGUCUAUAUAAUGUAAAUCACUUCUGUACAAUUCAAACUCAAGAAAUAACAUUCAUAAAUUAUUCUUCCAACUUACUCUUUCAUGGUCUAUUUCCAAAUGUGUUGGAUGAAUAUGGUUCUUCUUUGUUUUAUAAGUAAUAUGAUUAACUGUUUUUAUGCUUCUUAUAGACUUAGGUGGAUUCCUAGCUAAACAUAUAUAAACACCUAAGCUUUAUUAUGUAUGUGUAAAGAACAAUGGAAUAAUAAGAGUAUUUUUUUCUUUGGGCAGAAUUGACAUGCUGGAGAAAAAGCAGUGAAAACUGGGUUUUCUCUUUCUUUCGAGUUGCUGAUUUGCUUAAUUUUAAGAGGAAGAGCAGAGUGUUUUGCCCGGACCCUGUCGCACCACGAGGCGCUAUCGGCGAGUUGAGUUGUUUGGGAGUGCAACCAUAAUCGAGCGGCAAAUUUCGUCCAAGGCUAAAUACUGGCGAGACACUGAUAGCGAACAAGUACCGCAAGGGAAAGAUGAAUAGGACUUUGAAAAGAUAGUCAAAGAGUGCUUGAAGUUGUCAGGAGGGAAGCGAAUGGGGGCAGACGAUGUGUCUCGGUCGGAUGUGGAACGGUGCAAGCCGGUCCGCCAAUCGACUCGGGACAUUGACCGAUGCAGAUUGUGGUGGUGGCCAAAGCCUAAGAGCAUGGAGGCAAGCACGAAAAACAACCCAAUCGCAACUCUUACACCCUCAUGAACAAUAGACCCAACACCACUAAAUGUACCACACACCCACAAUGCCAAAGAAAGAAAGUAUACAGAAGCAUCGAGCAGAGUCAUGUCUACAUCGCUAGGUUUGAUGACAACUAAAAAUGCACCAACCACAAAUCAUUAGUUUAUGGAGAUAUCGCUUUGACAAUC
Molecule: long non-coding RNA, 1719 nt
Organism: Lotus japonicus
Lineage: Eukaryota; Viridiplantae; Streptophyta; Magnoliopsida; Fabales; Fabaceae
Exons: 5
Source: RefSeq, a predicted model, not a curated record